Molecule: non-coding RNA, 110 nt
Filed under: bovine gut metagenome
Description: FMN riboswitch (RFN element)
Rfam family: FMN riboswitch aptamer (RFN element)
About the family: The RFN element is a highly conserved domain that is found frequently in the 5'-untranslated regions of prokaryotic mRNAs that encode for flavin mononucleotide (FMN) biosynthesis and transport proteins. This element is a metabolite-dependent riboswitch that directly binds FMN in the absence of proteins. In Bacillus subtilis, the riboswitch most likely controls gene expression by causing premature transcription termination within the 5' untranslated region of the ribDEAHT operon and precluding access to the ribosome-binding site of ypaA mRNA.
Source: RNAcentral
GAUCUUCAGGGCAGGGUGAAAUUCCCGACCGGCGGUAAAGUCCGCGAGCGCCUCGGCGCAGGAACCGGUGUGAUUCCGGUACCGACAGUACAGUCUGGAUGGAAGAAGAU